GGAGGUGGAGAAUAGUUGCAAACCUGAUACAUGACAAUGAUGUCAAGGAAAAUAUUAGAAGAGAUGCUAUGUAGCGACAGCGGAACAGGAUGAAAAAAUUACUACUCUAUUCAAAACAUACAUACACACAACAGCUACGGCUAUGACGUAGGAUUUUUUUUGGACUAAUUAAUGAAAAAAACCAUUACUUUCGUGUGAAUAAUCAAUUUUAUCCAUAUCUUUUAAUUCUAUCAACUCUACCCUCACCCUUCAGGAUUGGUUUCAAUUUUAUCAAGUAAUUUCAAAUUGACAAAAAAAAAUGUUAUUUUAUCAUUGCAUCAUAUAAAAUAUUAAUUUUUUAGUCAAAAUCAUUCUACAAGUAAUCAACAUUUAAUUAUACAACAGCUCCAAAGCAAAAAUUUAACUAAUGACCAGACUAAGAUACCAUCAAAUACACCAAUGAUUGCCUCACUCCACACUCCGGACUCAAGAGUGUGUGAACUGAGAAACAUCUCAGACAAAAAUAAUAUCAUUUCUGUAAGCAAAGGAAAAAGUAUCACAAUGACAUUAGAAUUGUUGAGGUUCUUAUUUCUGAGGGCAUUUGCCUUCUCUCAACCCUCAAAUCUGUAACCUGAGAGCCAUUCCAUAGCCUAAUUCAUCAAGAUCCAGAUGCCGCUCAUUAAAACACCCUACCAUUCCUUCUUCCAUUAAACUUUCCCAGUUCAUACUUUAUCAUGAAAAAAUCCUCAGCAUAUCUUCAUUGCUCACCGAGGUUGGUUGCAGAGCCAAGAUUGAGGAGACUCCUGACGAAGUCGGAUAGAGUGACGGCCACUUGGAUGAGAUUUGGCAUCAAAGCUAGAUUUGAGAAUCUUGUAGUGUUUCGGAGGGGCAGAGUUGAUCAGAGUUCAGCGUUGUGGUGUCUUGGAGAGGACAGAAAAUGAGAUAGCAAGCUUGGGAAUUCAGUUUCCAUGGAAUUUUGAAUUGAAAGGAAACUUAUGGAUGGGUGCAGGGAAUUCAUGGGUUGGGUAGAGAGUGGUAGUUGGUCUCUUCAUCUACUAAAGUGGCAGCCAAGUUUAGAGAGAGAUAGAGAGAAGGAAGGAAGAAAGGAGAGAAAAGGAUUGAAAUAUAAUUUUAAUUAAAAAUAUACAUUUUUUCUUGUAAAUAAUAUCUUAUUUGAUUCGGAAAUAAAAUAUAUAUAUAUUUUUGAAUUUUACAAAACUGAUUGAUAAAAUUGCAACCAAUCUUAAAGGAUGAGAGUAGAAUUGAUAAAUUAAAAGGAUUUGCUAAAAUUGCUAAAAUUGAUAAUUUGCAGAGGUCAUGUUUUUAUUGUUCACUUAGGCUUUUUUUCUUUACUUAAAAUGAUUCAAAAUGGUACUGCAAAUUCCAAACCAGUACCCUCUUCCAUAGGUACCGGCACAUCAACUGAUAAACAAUGAGGCAGAACUUCAUCUGUGCUUUUUGUAAAAGACAAGCCAACAUCUGCUACAGAAAUUGAAAAGCAUCAACCAUUGAGAGUAUAAGUGCGAGGAGGGAGAGAGAGCAAAAACGUUACCAUAAAGUCCUGGUAUUCAAUG
RNAcentral lists this unclassified non-coding RNA (1553 nucleotides) under Hevea brasiliensis (rubber tree). The record is from RNAcentral. Lineage: Eukaryota; Viridiplantae; Streptophyta; Magnoliopsida; Malpighiales; Euphorbiaceae.